RNAcentral lists this ribosomal RNA (606 nucleotides) under uncultured soil bacterium. RNAcentral's name for it is "bacterial SSU rRNA". It matches the Rfam family "Bacterial small subunit ribosomal RNA", at positions 28 to 610 of the family's 1533-position model. The record is from RNAcentral.
AACGAACGCUGGCGGCGUGGAUUAGGCAUGCAAGUCGAACGUGAAAGGGGCUUCGGCCCUGAGUAAAGUGGCAAACGGGUGAGUAACGCGUGGAGAACCUGCCCGGAAGCGGGGGAUAACACUUCUAACGAGGUGCUAAUACCGCAUGUGUCUGCGUGAGCUCAUGCUCGCGCUGGUAAACGUGGCCUCUGCUCGCAAGCUACGGCUUCCGGAUGGCUCUGCGUCCCAUUAGCUAGUUGGUGGGGUAACGGCUCACCAAGGCGACGAUGGGUAGCUGGUCUGAGAGGAUGGUCAGCCACACUGGGACUGAGAUACGGCCCAGACUCCUACGGGAGGCAGCAGUCGAGAGGCUUCCGCAAUGGGGGAAACCCUGACGGAGCGACGCCGCGUGAGCGAUGAAGGCCUUCGGGUUGUAAAGCUCUUUCAGAUGGGAAGAAAGGUCCAUGGGUGAAUAAUCCAUUGGCUGUGACGGUACCGUCAGAAGAAGCUCCGGCUAACUCCGUGCCAGCAGCCGCGGUAAUACGGGGGGAGCAAGCGUUGUUCGGAUUCAUUGGGCGUAAAGGGCGCGUAGGUGGCUUGGUUAGUCCGACGUGAAAUGUCCGGUUC